GUCAAGAAGGAGAGAUCAACAAGAUGAGCCCUCUGGCGUUUGGGAAGGAAAUGCCAAAAUCCCACGUGGUCUGGGGGAAGAGAACACUCGCACCACUUCACAAGGACGAGCAAUAUCGUGAGCUCAGGGACCCUAAAAACUGUUAUGGAAAUCCCAGAAAGCCUUGGGAACUCGGGCUGACAAGGGGAAUGGAAGCGUAGGUGCGAAGGAGAGCACUAUGCAGAGAAUCCUGGGCAGAACAACAGAGCAGAAAGAGAAAACCCCGAAAUGGGCAGUUACCACAUCUUUCUAGGAUCUUUUACAGUGUUGAGAAAGAGCAGAGCUUUCCCUUCCCAGAUGGAACAGCGCUCACAUGGGCAGAGGCUGGAUGGACAACUGAGAGAGCUGCAUCAGAGCAAGGGCGCACUGCACGCAGCACAAGUCAGAGAGGAAAAUGUAGAUCAAUCUUUGGAGCAAAGCUCAGCGCCCUAGGGCGCCUCGUCAUCAGAAGUUCUGGAUCUGCGAGAGGAUGAGAGAAAGGCGUCCUCACCCCUGACAGCUGUAUUUGGUGCAUUUUCUUCUCCACUACAGCAGAAGAAUAAGCAUGGUCGUGUCCGCAUUCCUGGGCCCCUGGCUGACCUCUGAGCUGAGCUUCUCCUCCGAGCAGAUCCAGUUACCCUGAACAUUCAUGUCCCUUUGCUUGGCGUCUUCCAAAAAAGGCAAAUGUGGAAAGGCCUCGUGAAGUUUUUCUCUCCAACAUUUAAUUAUGGAAAUUUCAAAACACAAUGGAAAUAUGAAAUAAUUUUUUAUUUAACCCCAUAUUCCCACAGUGUUGAUUCUACCAUUAACAUUUGAAUGUACUUGCUUUAUGUCUAUCUGUCCAUGUGUUCAUAGUCCUUCCGUCAACCUGUCUUAAUUUUAAUCCAUUUCAAGGAAUGUUACAGACAUCAGUAACAUGUGCCCUAAAUAUUUCAAAAUGUGUAGUGCUAGAGUUCAAUAUUAUUACAGUUUAUUUUACCUAAAAAUUGUACCCUAUCAAAUGCACAUCUCCUAAGUGAUGAGUUUUCACAAGUGCGUGUACCUGUGGAACCCAAGCCCCUUCAAGUUGUAGACCAUGAGCCUUAUGUCCACAAAACCCCCUCUCGCCCCUUCCCAGUCAGUCCCCACAUCGAAUCAGGAAAGACAACCGCUGUUCUGAUUUUUCUGCCUCAUGGGUACAUUUUGCCUGUUCUAGAACUUCACAUUGAAUCAUACAGUGUGUACUCUGACUCAGCAUAAGGAUGUCGUGUGUAUCCGUCAUUCUCCUCUGUCAUCAGUUUGAAUUCUUGAAGCCCCGAGUCACCCCUCCGUGCCGGCUGCAGACAGGAUUCCGCACAUCCUUCCUACCAGUGCCCAGCUCCAAAGAGCCCACGGGGGGCAGGAUGCCUGGGCAGGGGGCUCACUCACAUGGUGGCCUCCCAGGGACACGGCUCUGAGUCCUGCUGUGUUUCACCAGCUCCCCAGCUCCCUGACAGCAGUGGGCUCAUACAACACACUCCAUGCUGCGCCACUGCCCUGGGCUUGACUCGUGCUUCAGAGAGAGAAAGAGCAGUGUGUAUGUGUGUGUGUACAAUUCACUGUGUGUGUGAGUGUGUGUUGUCAGAUAAUAGCUCUCAUUUAUUG
RNAcentral lists this long non-coding RNA (1641 nucleotides) under Equus caballus (horse). RNAcentral describes it as "lncRNA (ENSECAG00000045343.1)". The record is from RNAcentral. Lineage: Eukaryota; Metazoa; Chordata; Mammalia; Perissodactyla; Equidae.